AGAGCCCGGGGUCGGUCAAUCAGGUGCGGGCGGCUGGAGCAUGGCUUUGUGAGGCCUCUGAGGGGACCCGGCGGUGGCGGCCACGGCGGGACGGGCCGCCCACCAGUUGAACUCCGACAGCUGAGGCGGCUGAGGAGAUUAGACUCCAGAGAUAAUGAUAUUAGGAAAUCCAAACUGAAAUGGACCCCAGAGCAAUUGAAGAAAGAAAGAGUCAAGAGUUUCACUCUUGUUG
Molecule: long non-coding RNA, 232 nt
Filed under: Homo sapiens (human)
Lineage: Eukaryota; Metazoa; Chordata; Mammalia; Primates; Hominidae
Description: HSALNT0407121
Source: RNAcentral